Molecule: long non-coding RNA, 1828 nt
Organism: Dermochelys coriacea (leatherback sea turtle)
Lineage: Eukaryota; Metazoa; Chordata; Testudines; Dermochelyidae
Exons: 4
Source: RefSeq, a predicted model, not a curated record
ACGAUGCUGCCCUGGUCAUAUAUCAGGCCCCGCUCUGUAUCUCUGCAGCUGUGGGGAUGGAGCCCAUUAUGGAGUGCAGGCUCCCUCCCAUGGAGGCAAGUGAAAUAGUUUAUAUCUUAUGGUACAAAGAGGGGGAGACACUAAACUCAUCAGACAGCCACCUCCUACUGUCUGAAAAUCUCACAGCAGGGUCUGGUACUCUCAAGAUAUCCUGUGUGCAGGCUCAGGAUGCUGGAGUUUGUCUGUGAGAUGGGGAAUAUCACCCACAGCUCUACCGGGAAUGGCACAAACCUGGAAGUCCAUGGUUCAACCCCACCUAUGAAUCAAUCUGCAAUGGAAGGAUGUGUUUACAUUACUGCACCUCAGAAAGAGAAAGUGGCAACAUUGUAGGCAUUAAUAUUCUGCUUCUCAGAAACGUCGUUGGAGGGCAGCUCUUGUUGACUCUAAUGCUUGCAGUCAUCAUCGGACAUUUCAUGUCAGCUAGAGUCCAAUUGGAUCAUGUUCUCGGAUAUACGUUAAAAUGUGUCUGCCUCCUCUCCUCCUAUUCGAAGAUCACAGGUCUCAUUGGAUAUUCAGAAUAACCCAACCUGCUGGAAACAUCAGGACAUCGAAAGGAACAAACUCUUGUUGCUUUGCUCUGCUCCCCCCCCCCCAAAAUCAGCAGUAUCCUAGACAGCAUUGAACUGCCAAUCUUGUCCCACUAAUGAGAAAGGAAAACCCAACCUUUCCCUCCCACUCCAGAGCACCUGGUCACCCAGCAGCUCCUGACCAUUCAUCAGCAGGUGUCUCUCCUAGACUACAGCUACAAAUUCAUUUUCUCUGAGGGGAAGACACCACCAGCACCAGGUUCAUUAGUUGGAAGCCAAUUCCCAGCUGUAACAGAAACUCUCGCUCCUAAAGAAGUUUAAGUAGCUCCCAGCUCCUCCUGGCGUCCAUUCUGCAGCCUGCUCUGAAAUCCACAGGACAUAGGACCCCCUUCCCCCAUGGAGACAUACCAUGAUUACCCCUGUUACUCAUCCCAAAAUGUUCUGAUUUUUCCAAAAUCUCCUUCCAGCUAACUAAAUUCCCAGGCAGUAAAUAACUGUCAGUAACACAGCAAGCAUCACUGUUCCCUGGGCCCAGUCUGAGACCAGCGCUGAGCAGAAAGAGCAAUGGUUAGCAUUGCACGUAGGGUUCCCAGCCUAUGGCUCAGUCUUUCCCCUUUCGUUCAAUUCUGUUUUAAAUGGCUCAGCCUUGCACAUGGUCUCUGGUUAAAUAGGAUUCCAGGACAGCAAUGAUGGGGAAACUGACAUUAGCCGAGACAAAAAGUGGGAGGGAAGAGUUAUAUUGGGCCUCAUGAUGUAUCACUGUGUAAUCUUGAGGGUAUUCAUUAGUAUUAUCUUUUGGAGCAGGAGUGGAAAGGCUGGUCCCAGACAGUACUUCUCUGGGUCCUUCCCACCAAAUUCCCUGUGAAUAUGGGUCCUGUCAUGCAAUACAAAAUGGAUGAUUAUUGACACAGAAGGGUCUAUCAGUGUGUGUGUCACUAAAUUGUUCAGUGGGUUAAAAUUAUUUGUAGGGAAGGCACCUCCAGCGUGAGCCCUGAGCUAGAGCCCAGCUCCAGCCUCGUUGGUUGAUGCUCCAUUUCCCACUUCACUGAGCGGGACGCAAAGCCCAGCUGCCCCAGAUACCAACUGAAGCUCCAGCAGCUCCCAGCUUCCCCAUUCCAGACCCCGUCCUCGAACCCUGACCAUCCCCAAGGAGCCAGCCCGGGGUUGCCAUGGUUACCUUUGAUGGCCCCUCCUGAAUUGUUCUGCUUCUUCCAAUGUUGCUUCCUGUUGGCCAGAUUCCA